Molecule: ribosomal RNA, 233 nt
Filed under: uncultured bacterium
Lineage: Bacteria
Description: partial 16S ribosomal RNA
Rfam family: Bacterial small subunit ribosomal RNA
Source: RNAcentral
UGAGUAACCUGCCCUUAACUCUGGGAUAAGCCUGGGAAACUGGGUCUAAUACCGGAUAUGACUCCUCAUCGCAUGGUGGGGGGUGGAAAGCUUUUUGUGGUUUUGGAUGGACUCGCGGCCUAUCAGCUUGUUGGUGAGGUAAUGGCUCACCAAGGCGAUGACGGGUAGCCGGCCUGAGAGGGUGACCGGCCACACUGGGACUGAGACACGGCCCAGACUCCUACGGGAGGCAG